This 441-nucleotide ribosomal RNA is filed under the name uncultured bacterium. Its description in RNAcentral is "partial 16S ribosomal RNA". It matches the Rfam family "Bacterial small subunit ribosomal RNA", at positions 338 to 795 of the family's 1533-position model. The record is from RNAcentral.
CCUACGGGUGGCUGCAGUGGGGAAUAUUGCACAAUGGGGGGAACCCUGAUGCAGCGACGCCGCGUGGGUGAAGGAGUAUUUCGGUAUGUAAAGCCCUAUCAGCAGGGAAGAACAAACACGGUACCUGACUCAGAAGCACCGGCUAAAUACGUGCCAGCAGCCGCGGUAAUACGGAUGGUGCAAGCGUUAUCCGGAUUUACUGGGUGUAAAGGGAGCGCAGGCGGCGCGGUAAGCCUGGUGUGAAAGUCCGCGGCCCAACCGCGGGACUGCAUUGGGAACUGGCGCGCGGGAGUGCCGGAGGGGUAUGCGGAAUGCCUGGUGUAGCGGUGAAAUGCGUAGAUAUUGGGAGGAACACCAGUGGCGAAGGCGGCCUGCUGGACGGUGACUGACGCUGAGGCUCGAAAGCGUGGGGAGCGAACAGGAUUAGAUACCCUAGUAGUC